RNAcentral lists this ribosomal RNA (1420 nucleotides) under Rhabdopleura normani. RNAcentral describes it as "SSU rRNA". It matches the Rfam family "Eukaryotic small subunit ribosomal RNA", at positions 76 to 1713 of the family's 1831-position model. The record is from RNAcentral. Lineage: Eukaryota; Metazoa; Hemichordata; Pterobranchia; Rhabdopleurida; Rhabdopleuridae.
GCAAAGCGAAACUGCGAAUGGCUCAAUAAAUCAGUUAUGGUUCAUUUGAUCGUUGCCUUUGCCCUCGCGGGCCGAGGCUACUUGGAUAACUGUGGCAAUUCUAGAGCUAAUACAUGCGAACCUCGCGGCGCCGCUCUCUCGGGGGUCACGCCGCGCGCUUUUAUUAGGAACAAGGCCAGCCUCGUGUGCGUCUUGGCGAACUCUGGAUAACUCUGCCGAUCGCACGGUCCAUUCUGCACCGGCGACGAAUCAUUCAAGUGUCUGCCCUAUCAACUGUCGAUGGUAGGUUACGCGCCUACCAUGGUUUUAACGGGUGACGGGGAAUCGGGGUUCGAUUCCGGAGAGGGAGCCUGAGAAACGGCUACCACAUCCAAGGAAGGCAGCAGGCGCGCAAAUUACCCAUUCCGACACGGGGAGGUAGUGACGAAAAAUACCGAUGAGGGACUCUUUCGAGCUCUCUCAAUCGGAAUGAGCACAGCCUAAAUCCUUUAGCGAGGAUCUAUUGGAGGGNAAGUCUGGUGCCAGCAGCCGCGGUAAUUCCAGCUCCAAUAGCGUAUACUAAAGUUGUUGCAGUUAAAAAGCUCGUAGUUGGAUCUCGGCGCCGAGCCGGUGGUAGCAUGGAAUAAUGGAAUAGGACCUCGGUUCUAUUGCGUUGGUUAUUGGAACACGAGGUAAUGAUUGAGAGGGACUGACGGGGGCAUUCGUAUUGCGGCGUCAGAGGUGAAAUUCUUGGAUCGCCGCAAGACGGACUGCUGCGAAAGCGUUUGCCAAGAAUGUUUUCGUUAAUCAAGAACGAAAGUUAGAGGUUCGAAGACGAUCAGAUACCGUCGUAGUUCUAACCGUAAACGAUGCCGACCGGCGAUCCGCCGGGUUCCGGGGGAAGUAUGGUUGCAAAGCUGAAACUUAAAGGAAUUGACGGAAGGGCACCACCAGGAGUGGAGCCUGCGGCUUAAUUUGACUCAACACGGGAAAACUCACCCGGCCCGGGCACGGCGAGGAUUGACAGAUCGAGAGCUCUUUCUUGAUUCCGUGGGUGGUGGUGCAUGGCCGUUCUUAGUUGGUGGAGCGAUUUGUCUGGUUAAUUCCGAUAACGAACGAGACUCUGGCUUGCUAAAUAGUACUUCUUAGAGGGACAAUGGCGCUCAGCCACGCGAAAUGGAGCAAUAACAGGUCUGUGAUGCCCUUAGAUGUCCGGGGCCGCACGCGCGCUACACUAGAAAAAUCAACAAGUACCUCCUCGGCCGACAGGUCCGGGUAACCCGUGAACCUCUUUCGUGCUUGGGACAGGGAUUUGCAAUUGUCUCCCUCGAACGAGGAAUUCCCAGUAAGCGCGAGUCAUAAGCUCGCGUUGAUUACGUCCCUGCCCUUUGACACACCGCCCGUCGCUCCUACCGAUUGAAUGAUCCGGUGAAGUUUCGGA